GUAUCUGAGGUCUGACGAGGAUGAGAACCUCCGGGGGCAAGAGGUUCGACCCGAGCGAAGCGAGAGAACGUUGCGCCAGCAACGGCCCGCAGUGGCAAGUCAUCCUCUGUCACCGACAG
Molecule: small RNA, 119 nt
Filed under: Salmonella enterica
Lineage: Bacteria; Pseudomonadati; Pseudomonadota; Gammaproteobacteria; Enterobacterales; Enterobacteriaceae
Description: RtT sRNA
Rfam family: RtT RNA
About the family: This family represents a bacterial cis-regulatory element known as RtT RNA. The exact function of RtT is unknown although it is thought that it may be involved in changing the cellular response in relation to amino acid starvation.
Source: RNAcentral